CACAUUGAUGAUGAUGAUCUGAUUAAUUAUAUUGUCUCUGGUUUGAAUCCUUCUUUCCUUCCUUUUAUCACAUCUCUUUCUAUUGCUUCUCGAGA
Molecule: small nucleolar RNA, 95 nt
Organism: Magnolia sinica
Lineage: Eukaryota; Viridiplantae; Streptophyta; Magnoliopsida; Magnoliales; Magnoliaceae
Product: small nucleolar RNA Z247
Exons: 1
Source: RefSeq, a predicted model, not a curated record